GGUUACUGCUAUCGGGGUUCGACUAAGCCAUGCGAGUCUAAUGUUCUUUAUUGAACAUGGCGAACUGCUCAGUAACACGUGGACAACUUGCCCUUAGGACUGGUAUAACCCCGGGAAACUGGGGAUAAUCCCAGAUAAUCCAUUGAAGCUGGAAUGCUCUUUGGAUAAAAUGCUCCGGCGCCUAAGGAUAGGUCUGCGGUCUAUCAGGUUGUAGUGGGUGUAACGUACCUACUAGCCUACUACGGAUACGGGUUGUGAGAGCAAGAGCCCGGAGAUGGAUUCUGAGACACGAAUCCAGGCCCUACGGGGUGCAGCAGGCGCGAAUACUUUACAAUGCGGGAAACCGCGAUAAGGGAACCCCGAGUGCCAGCACCAAGUGUUGGCUGUCCAGAUGAAUAAAUAUCAUUUGUUAGCAAGGGCCGGGCAAGACCGGUGCCAGCCGCCGCGGUAACACCGGCGGCCCGAGUGGUAACCACUUUUAUUGGGUCUAAAGGGUCCGUAGCCGGCUUGAACAGUCUUUUGGGAAAUCUGACAGCUUAACUGUUAGGCUUCUAAGGGAUACUAUCAGGCUUGGGACCGGGAGAGGUAAGGGGUACUUCAGGGGUAGGAGUGAAAUCUUGUAAUCCCUGGGGGACCAUCUGUGGCGAAGGCGUCUUACCAGAACGGGUCUGACGGUGAGGGACGAAAGCUGGGGGCGCAAACCGGAUUAGAUACCCGGGUAGUCCCAGCCGUAAACGAUGCUCGCUAUGUGUCAGGUACGGUGUGACCGUAUCUGGUGCCGUAGGGAAGCCGUGAAGCGAGCCACCUGGGAAGUACGGCCGCAAGGCUGAAACUUAAAGGAAUUGGCGGGGGAGCACUACAACGGGUGGAGCCUGCGGUUU
This 881-nucleotide ribosomal RNA is filed under the name uncultured archaeon. Its description in RNAcentral is "bacterial SSU rRNA". It matches the Rfam family "Archaeal small subunit ribosomal RNA", at positions 21 to 903 of the family's 1478-position model. The record is from RNAcentral.